UCUGGAAAGGCGCGCGAUACAGGGUGACAGCCCCGUACACAAAAAUGCACAUGCUGUGAGCUCGAUGAGUAGGGCGGGACACGUGGUAUCCUGUCUGAAUAUGGGGGGACCAUCCUCCAAGGCUAAAUACUCCUGACUGACCGAUAGUGAACCAGUACCGUGAGGGAAAGGCGAAAAGAACCCCGGCGAGGGGAGUGAAAAAGAACCUGAAACCGUGUACGUACAAGCAGUGGGAGCACGCUUCGGCGUGUGACUGCGUACCUUUUGUAUAAUGGGUCAGCGACUUAUAUUCUGUAGCAAGGUUAACCGAAUAGGGGAGCCGAAGGGAAACCGAGUCUUAACUGGGCGUUAAGUUGCAGGGUAUAGACCCGAAACCCGGUGAUCUAGCCAUGGGCAGGUUGAAGG
This 405-nucleotide ribosomal RNA is filed under the name Escherichia coli. Its description in RNAcentral is "partial 23S ribosomal RNA". It matches the Rfam family "Bacterial large subunit ribosomal RNA", at positions 341 to 751 of the family's 2925-position model. The record is from RNAcentral. Lineage: Bacteria; Pseudomonadati; Pseudomonadota; Gammaproteobacteria; Enterobacterales; Enterobacteriaceae.